AUACUUGUCACCUGGCAGAGGUGACAGCAUAGUCACAGAGGGGGUUUUCCCAGGGUGAGGCUUAGCCAUUUCUCUCUGGAUGUGCUGACUCCUGCAGUUUCCUUGGGGCCAGGAAACCGCAUAGUUUGUGGGAGUGCGGGACUAUGCUCAUUCUCUCCCC
This is a small nuclear RNA of Grammomys surdaster, 160 nucleotides long. RefSeq annotates it as U1 spliceosomal RNA. The transcript has a single exon. The record is from RefSeq and is a predicted model, not a curated record. Lineage: Eukaryota; Metazoa; Chordata; Mammalia; Rodentia; Muridae.